Molecule: ribosomal RNA, 253 nt
Filed under: uncultured bacterium
Lineage: Bacteria
Description: partial 16S ribosomal RNA
Rfam family: Bacterial small subunit ribosomal RNA
Source: RNAcentral
CACGAACCGUACGAACGUUAUUCGGAAUUACUGGGCUUAAAGGGUUUGUAGGCGGCCUUGUAAGUCAGGUGUGAAAGCCCUCGGCUCAACCGAGGAACAGCGCUUGAUACUGCAAGGCUUGAGGGAGACAGGGGUAAGCGGAACUGAUGGUGGAGCGGUGAAAUGCGUUGAUAUCAUCAGGAACACCGGUGGCGAAGGCGGCUCACUGGCCCGAUACUGACGCUGAGGCACGAAAGCGUGGGGAGCAAACAGG